RNAcentral lists this long non-coding RNA (3871 nucleotides) under Xyrichtys novacula (pearly razorfish). The record is from RNAcentral. Lineage: Eukaryota; Metazoa; Chordata; Actinopteri; Labriformes; Labridae.
CUCUGGUAACGCCCAUCACUGCAAAGACCCUUUUCCUUCAUCGGCGUUUGCUGUUCUUCCUGCCAGUGCGUGUUGCUUUCACUUACACUUGCCACAGCCAGCCUCGUGAGUGCCUAGCCUAUUGGAUAUCACUAUCAUCUACACAGGACAGUCAUUACCUUUCUAUUAAUACUUUGUUUUUUAAUUUCACAUUAAUUUCCAUAUUGUAUAAAUGACUGGAAAAAACUUGAGCCCCUGCCCCUGUAUAAUCAUGUGCACGUCCCUGUUCUAGCUCCAAGGUGAAUCUUCACUGCUCAUGUUCUCCUCAGAAGCACUCACCUCACUCCCCUCAGGUUACUGUACACAUGCACCAACUGCCUGCUUCAGGUUUGGAUGGAGCUUCAUGGUUGUCUUUUGGAGAAAUGAGCAGUCAAGUUGUGUUUGAAAUUUGAUUUUUUUCAGGGGCAAAAGGAGCCUCUGCAUUCUUGACAAAUAUGUAAAUAGCAUGUUUUUGCAGGUGCUAAAAACCAGACUCUGAGUGUGUGUGUGUGUGUGUGUGUGUGUGUGUGUGUGUGUGUGUGUGUGUGUGUGUGUCUGUGUCUGUGUGUGUGUAUAUAUCUUGCAGUACUCUGAGAAGAAUAAUAAGCAUAUUUCUGCGGUGAAUUUUGAAGAUUCAUCUGAGAGUUAGGAGGGCUGAUCAUUCCCUUACCCUUUAGAUGUCUGUCUAUGUCUGUUUUUGUGUGAUAAUGAAAGAAUCCCAACUCAAAAAGGCUCUGUUGAUGUUUUUUUUUGUUGUUCAUUCAUAUUCAAACCACUAUUUUAUAUCACUGCUAAUACGCCAAGACCAUUUUAUGGUAUUUAGCUUUAUUAUUUCUAUACAUUUUGCAAGGAAAGAAACCAAGGCCUUCACUUAAAUUUCCAUAAACUUUAGGAAAGGACCUCUGGUUGUUUAAGGGGGUCAUUACUGCAAAAAAAUAUUCUUCCUAAAUUUUGAAGGUCAAACCUUAGAUCCAUUAGGUUUAAAUAGAAAAAGCAUUAAAAUAUGUUAGGAUUAUAGCAUAUGACAAAUGUGUGCCUCUCAGUGGCAUAACUACUUUGUCUGCUGGCUCUGCAGUCGAUUGACGCUCCCCAGCGUUCAAGUCACAUGACAUAUUUAACCGGAUGUAGCUGCAAGACGGAGCCUCGUUCACCCUCCGUUUCAACUUAUCUCAAAAGUGAGGACCUCAAACUAUAUACCAGUUUUUAAAUUGUGUUGAUAGGCCAAAUAAAACCAGAGUUAUGAUAAAUUAUGUCCGCGAUACUUUUUUUCUGCUUAUUUUGAUCACGUUCGGCGCUCGAUCACGCUGUAUGAGACAGGAAAACAUAGCAUGCAGACAUUAGCGACAGCUCUUACAGGCGGAAAAGGCAUGCCAAAAGAAAAAAAAAACACACCACAACAUCUCUCCUAUUGGUGGAAAACUUCACCACAACAACCAAUCCAAAAUUAUAUGGUGACUGAUUGACAAGGGGCGGGCGCUUACGUUCUUCCUGCAAUAUGAGAAGGGAGGGAGGAACUCUCAGCAGGGAUGCAGUCUGGGAAACAUAGUUGCAAACCUAGCGACUUUGUUGUUAGAUUCAAUGACUUUUCAGACCCCCUAACGACUUUUUUUUAGAAAGAAAGGGAAUUUUAUCGACUUCCUCUGGAGUUUAGAGACUCUGACAUGAAGCAGGCUUUCCUUACUGAGGAGUUAGCAACGCUGCUAAGGGUGCAGAGCCACACAUGCGCUCCGAGCUCUGCAUGGGAGACUAGAGCUGAGAGAGCUGCAGCAGUUAGCAGGUUUCACCCUCAGAGACCACCAGGAGUUCAUGUUGAGGCAUUUUCAGUUUUUUUUUUUUUUUGCCAUAGACACUGUCAGCACAAUCUGCAGUUACACUAACAAAAAUGCUGCAAAAAACAAAGAAUUAUGGAAAAAUUACACAUGGACUGACAUAGAGGAGGAUCUACACAAGUUUUUUACAUCAUGUUUUACAUCAUGCAUCAUUUACAUCAUGUUUUUUUGUAGUGGCAUAAAUAAAAAGUGACAUUUGUGAGACUAUACAGUGUUUUGUAAAUAAUUUUACAAAGAACGCCUGGGCCAUUGCCUGCAUUUUGAUGUAAAUAGAGGUAAAUUACUAUGUUCUUUGUUAAAAAUUUGCAUAUGUUUUGAAGUUUACAAUUUUUAUUUGAAGUUUAAGUUUUAAAAACAGUUCAUCACACAUAUUUGUGGUUUAAUUUCACAUUAAUUUCCAUAUUUGUAUAAAUGACUGGAAAAAACUUGAGCCCCUGCCCCUGUAUAAUCAUGUGCACGUCCCUGUUCUAGCUCCAAGGUGAAUCUUCACUGCUCAUGUUCUCCUCAGAAGUAGUCACCUCACUCCCCUCAGGUUACUGUACACAUGCACCAACUAUCUGCUUCAGGUUUGGAUGGAGCUUCAUGGUUGUCUUUUGGAGAAAUUAACAGUCAAGUUGUGUUUGAAAUUUGAUUUUUUUCAGGGGCAAAAGGAAGCCUCUGCAUUCUUGUCAAAUAUGUAAACAGCAUGUUUUUGCUGGUGCUAAAAAACAGACUCUGAGUGUGUGUGUGUGUGUGUGUGUGUGUGUGUGUGUGUGUGUGUGUGUGUGUGUGUGUGUGUGUGUUGGCGUGUGUGUAUAUGUGUGUGUGUCCGGCAGUACUCUGUACUCCUGCAGUGGCCAAAAAGACUUUUAAGAAUGUGGAUUUUUGGGUCAUCUUUGGCGCCCCCUAGAACUGCAGUACUCUGUACUCCUGCAGUGGCCAAAAUGACUUUUAAGAAUGUGGAUUUUUGGGUCAUCUUUGGCGCCCCCUAGAACGUAAACCGUGGGGUGCAGCGUCAUGAUUUUUACAACUUUGAAUGGCCAUGGGGUGUAGAUUGCCCUGAGCAAAUUUGGUAUCGGUGGGACGAAAGCCUUAGGAGGAGAUAGCCACAUUCCAAUGUGUGCGAAUCGGCAAAAAAUGCGAAAUAGCCCUUUAACCAUACAUUUGACAGAUACGUGCCUAUUGACUUUUUUGUAGAUCUUAUUGAGAUACACGUGAUUGUCAAAUUGUGUGUCAAUAUGACAAAGUGUAUAGGCGUGACACUCAACAAUGUGUAUUUUUACCUUAGGAGACAAGAAAAAAUGGACUUUUUUCUCCUGCCAUGGGGGGGCGCUCUUUUGGGGAGUAAAAAUUCCUUCACAAAUGUGUUGAUGGCUGGACAUUGCAUCAUCCUAGAAAACUUGGAGGCCAGUGAGGACAAAAAUAAAAAGUUAUAAGACUUUUAAGAAUGUGGAUUUUUGUGUUAUCUUCGGCGCCCCCUAGAAAGUAAACCGUGGGGUGCAGCAUCAUGAUUUGUACAACUUUUAAUGGCCAUGGGGUGUAGAUUGGCCUGAGCAAAUUUGGUGCCGGUGGAACGAAAGCCUUCGGAGGAGUUAGCGAAAUUCCAAUGUGUGCGGAUCGGCAAAAAAAGCGAAAUAGCCCUUUAACCGUACAUUUGACAGAUACGCCCGCACUGACUUUUUCGUAGAUCUUAUUGAGAUACACAUGUGUGUCAAAUUUUGUGUCAUUUUGACAAAGCGUACAGGCAUCAGGUGAGUUUUCACCAUAGGGGGCGCUAUGGAGCCAUUUUUCAUUUUUUUGUUUGGACGACUUCAGAAUAUCAAAUUUUUCACCAGGCCCGGUCGUCCUGCCAAAUUUCCUGAGUUUUCGCCAGUGGGAAGUGGGCCAUUUUCCAGUUUAAAGCGGAGGAAAAAUAACGAAAGAAGAAUCCAUCAGGAACAAGAGGGCUCUCGCAGCUGCUUAGCAGCUACGCUCGGGCCCUAACUAGGACCCCGUUGGGGCACUGGCGGGCCCGAGCCGUGUCGCGUCCCCCCCCCCCCAACGUG